Molecule: ribosomal RNA, 253 nt
Filed under: uncultured bacterium
Lineage: Bacteria
Description: partial 16S ribosomal RNA
Rfam family: Bacterial small subunit ribosomal RNA
Source: RNAcentral
UACAGAGGUCCCAAGCGUUGUUCGGAUUCACUGGGCGUAAAGGGUGCGUAGGUGGCGGAAAAAGUUCGAUGUGAAAUCUCCGGGCUUAACCCGGAAACGGCAUUGAAUACUGUUUCGCUCGAGGGUCGGAGGGGAGACUGGAAUUCUCGGUGUAGCAGUGAAAUGCGUAGAUAUCGAGAGGAACACCAGUGGCGAAAGCGAGUCUCUGGACGACAUCUGACACUGAGGCACGAAAGCUAGGGGAUCAAACAGG